AAAUGAAUUGACGGGGGCCCGCACAAGCAGCGGAGCAUGUGGUUUAAUUCGAAGCAACGCGAAGAACCUUACCAAGGCUUGACAUCUGCCUAAAGCAGUGGAAACAUUGUGUCCCUUCGGGGGAGGCAAGACAGGUGGUGCAUGGUUGUCGUCAGCUCGUGUCGUGAGAUGUUGGGUUAAGUCCCGCAACGAGCGCAACCCCUAUUGCCAGUUACCAGCGCGUAAAGGCGGGGACUCUGGUGAGACUGCCGGGGACAACUCGGAGGAAGGUGGGGACGACGUCAAAUCAUCAUGCCCCUUAUGUCUUGGGCUACACACGUGCUACAAUGGCCGCAACAGAGGGAAGCGAGGCCGCAAGGCGGAGCGAAUCUCAGAAAAGCGGUCCCAGUUCGGAUUGUGGGCUGCAACCCGCCCACAUGAAGUCGGAGUUGCUAGUAAUCGCGAAUCAGCAUGUCGCGGUGAAUACGUUCCCGGGCCUUGUACACACCGCCCGU
Molecule: ribosomal RNA, 494 nt
Filed under: uncultured bacterium
Lineage: Bacteria
Description: bacterial SSU rRNA
Rfam family: Bacterial small subunit ribosomal RNA
Source: RNAcentral